Molecule: ribosomal RNA, 700 nt
Filed under: uncultured bacterium
Lineage: Bacteria
Description: bacterial SSU rRNA
Rfam family: Bacterial small subunit ribosomal RNA
Source: RNAcentral
GCAGUCGAACGGCAGCACGGGGGCAACCCUGGUGGCGAGUGGCGAACGGGUGAGUAACGCAUCGGAACGUGCCCAGUAGUGGGGGAUAACCAGUCGAAAGAUUGGCUAAUACCGCAUACGACCUACGGGUGAAAGCGGGGGAUCGCAAGACCUCGCGCUACUGGAGCGGCCGAUGUCUGAUUAGCUAGUUGGUGGGGUAAAGGCUCACCAAGGCGACGAUCAGUAGCUGGUCUGAGAGGACGACCAGCCACACUGGGACUGAGACACGGCCCAGACUCCUACGGGAGGCAGCAGUGGGGAAUUUUGGACAAUGGGCGAAAGCCUGAUCCAGCCAUGCCGCGUGCGGGAAGAAGGCCUUCGGGUUGUAAACCGCUUUUGGCAGGAACGAAACGGUGCCGACAAAUACUCGGCGCUAAUGACGGUACCUGCAGAAUAAGCACCGGCUAACUACGUGCCAGCAGCCGCGGUAAUACGUAGGGUGCAAGCGUUAAUCGGAAUUACUGGGCGUAAAGCGUGCGCAGGCGGCUAUGCAAGACAGGUGUGAAAUCCCCGGGCUCAACCUGGGAACUGCAUUUGUGACUGCAUGGCUAGAGUUUGUCAGAGGGGGGGUGGAAUUCCACGUGUAGCAGUGAAAUGCGUAGAGAUGUGGAGGAACACCGAUGGCGAAGGCAGCCCCCUGGGACCUGACUGACGCUCAUGC